Molecule: unclassified non-coding RNA, 367 nt
Filed under: Drosophila grimshawi
Lineage: Eukaryota; Metazoa; Arthropoda; Insecta; Diptera; Drosophilidae
Description: ion transport peptide-like, transcript variant X2
Source: RNAcentral
AAAAAUGAACAAUGAAUACAAUUAUGAAUAUUGUAUGUAAAAUAAAUGAACAAUCGCUGGCUAUUUGAGGGCAUCCAAAAUUGUGAUAAAUGAAAUUAGAAUGCGACACUGACCAGGGAGAGAGAGAGAGUGACAAAGAGAGCAACACAACACAACAAGCGCAAAGCACACAGACAGAAAAACACAGAAAGAGAGAGAGAGAGAGAGUGAAAGCAACAAGUGCGGCCAGCCAGCUGUCAACGAUGUUUGGCGCGUCUUCGACGCGACUAAAAACGCGCGCUUACCGUUUUUAUUUUGUGGCAAGACUGCUUCGGAUCGGUGUUCUUCAACGCCUGCGUCGAGGCACUGCAGCUGCACGAGGAGAUGG